GAUUCAUAACUGGGGUGAAGUCGUAACAAGGUAACCGUAGGGGAACCUGCGGUUGGAUCACCUCCUUA
This 68-nucleotide ribosomal RNA is filed under the name Escherichia coli. RNAcentral's name for it is "partial 16S ribosomal RNA". It matches the Rfam family "Bacterial small subunit ribosomal RNA", at positions 1466 to 1533 of the family's 1533-position model. Lineage: Bacteria; Pseudomonadati; Pseudomonadota; Gammaproteobacteria; Enterobacterales; Enterobacteriaceae. The record is from RNAcentral.